GACGAACGCUGGCGACGGGCUUAACACAUGCAAGUCGAACGAAAAGCCCUGGGCUUGCCCGGGGUGGAAAGUGGCACACGGGUGAGUAACGCGUAGGCAAUCUACCCUCAGCAGGGGAACAACCCCGCGAAAGCGGAGCUAAUACCCCAUAAUGUCCCUUGGUCGCAUGACCUCGGGAUCAAAGUUCAGGCGGCUGAGGAUGAGCCUGCGUUAGAUUAGCUAGUUGGUGGGGUAACGGCCCACAAAGGCAACGAUCUAUAGCGGGUCUGAGAGGAUGAUCCGCCACACUGGCACUGAGACACGGGCCAGACUCCUACGGGAGGCAGCAGUGAGGAAUAUUGCGCAAUGGACGAAAGUCUGACGCAGCCACGCCGCGUGCAGGAAGACACCCCUCCGGGGCGUAAACUGCUUUUAUAUGGGAAGAACACCCCGCACUGUUGCGGGGCCUGACGGUACCAUACGAAUAAGGACCGGCUAACUCCGUGCCAGCAGCCGCGGUAAUACGGAGGGUCCAAGCGUUGUCCGGAAUCACUGGGUGUAAAGGGUGCGCAGGCGGGCUUGUAAGUCAGAGGUGAAAUCCCCCGGCCUAACCGGGGAACUGCCUUUGAUACUGCAAGUCUUGAGUCUUGGAGAGGUUGCCAGAAUUCGUGGUGUAGCGGUGAAAUGCGUAGAUAUCACGAGGAAUACCCGAGGCGUAGGCGGGCAACUGGACAAGUACUGACGCUGAGGCACGAAAGCGUGGGGAGCAAACAGGACUAGAUACCCUGGUAGUCCACGCCGUAAACGAUGGAUGCUCGAUGCUGGUCCGUUUCAGGGGCAGUGUCCAAGCUAACGCGUUAAGCAUCCCACCUGGGGAGUACGAUCGCAAGGUUGAAACUCAAAGGAAUUGACGG
Molecule: ribosomal RNA, 893 nt
Filed under: uncultured Bacteroidota bacterium
Lineage: Bacteria; Pseudomonadati; Bacteroidota
Description: bacterial SSU rRNA
Rfam family: Bacterial small subunit ribosomal RNA
Source: RNAcentral